GACAAGUCGCUGGUUCUAAAUGCCCGCCAUUAGCCAGAGGAGGGCCGCGACAGCCCAUGCUGCCCCGUCAUGUGCAGAGGCUGGGCAGAGACUGGAUCACCCACUGGAAUGGUUCUCAGAUACUUGCCUUGAACAGUCCAGUUCCCAGCUGUAUGAGAUGGGCCGGACAGUAUCCCUGGGCCUCGUUUCCACUUCCUGUUCCAGCUGACUUCUCAGCAAACUGGAGACUCCCUUCAUUUUUUGGACCUUGGAGGCAAUUCCAGAACUCUAAUUGGCAGCUUGAUAACUUCAUGCAAAGUUCUUGCUUUCACCUACCUAACCCCAGUAUGAAAUCUGAGGGAGAAGAACCAUUAACAAAGAAGAGAAGGCUCAGUGACCAGCAUAAUACUUCAACUCCUGAAGAAGAAACAAACUUCUCUCAUCAGCGGGAAGCAUUGUGUCUUUCUGUAGCACAGAAUGAAGAAAAACAUAGCAGCAAGAAAGGAACCGUCAAAAGACGCUGGGAAUAUUUCUGUCAGCACAGUAGAACAAUGAAAAUCGUUGAAAAUAAAGAAACUGACCAAAGCAAUACAGAAAGUGAGGCAAAAUUUGAUUUUACAGUCAUGUCCUACAAUAUCCUCUCACAGAAUUUGUUAGAAGAUAACUCCCACCUGUACAAACACUGCAGGCAACGAUUGUUAAUCUGGACAUACAGAUUUCCCAACAUUCUACAAGAAAUCAAACAGCUGGAUGCAGAUGUACUCUGUUUACAAGAAGUCCAAGAAGACCACUAUAGAACAGAGAUCAAGUCAAGUUUGGAAUCCCUGGGGUAUCACUGUGAGUAUAAAAUGAGGACAGGGAGAAAACCUGAUGGCUGUGCUAUUUGCUUCAAAACUUCCAAGUUUAGCCUGAUCUCAUCAAACCCCGUGGAAUUUUUUCGCCAUGAUAUUCCACUCUUGGACAGGGACAACGUUGGACUGGUGUUGCUUUUGCAGCCUAGAUUUCACUGUGAAACUAAUGCUGCAAUCUGUAUAGCCAAUACACAUCUGCUGUAUAACCCAAGGCGAGGGGACAUCAAACUGACCCAACUUGCAAUGCUCCUGGCAGAGAUUGCUAGUGUUGCCCCUCAGAAGGACGGUACCUACUGUCCAAUUAUCAUCUGUGGUGACUUCAAUUCUGUUCCUGGUUCUCCAUUGUACAGAUUUAUAAAGGAAGGGAAGUUAAAUUAUGAAGGACUUGCUAUAGGGAAGGUCUCCGGACAAGAACAGUUUCCAAGAGGACAAAGAAUCUUACCUAUUCCAAUUUGGCCAAAGAAAUUAGGUAUUUCGCAAAACUGUGUAUAUGAAAUAAAAAAGCAGCAAAAAGAAGAAAAUGCAGGAGAAAAAUUGGAAGCAGCAAAACUGGACAACACUCAGGAGAUUGUAAUAGCAUCUGAAAAGUUGUCUUCAAAAUUGCAGCACCAUUUUAAACUGUCUUCAGUCUAUUCUCAUUACUUUCCUGAAACUGGGAUACCAGAAGUAACGACUUGUCACUCCCGAAGUGCUGUCACUGUGGAUUAUAUUUUCUAUUCUGCAGCGAACGAUGAUGCUGCUGCCCAGCCAGCGGCCAUCUCGGCAUGGAGACAAGAGCUGAGGCUACAGAAAAGCAGCAAUCAAAAUAGCGUGUGAAAAGUAUGCCAUCAGUAACUCAUGCAGGACCUCUGUGGCCUGGCCUACAACAAAGCAGUAUUUCCAGUCAUCUCAUCAACAAAAGGAUUCUUCACCCCACGUCAGAGUAUAGAAUGGGACCAAACUUGAAUUCUCCAAGUAGUUUAAACUGGGGUAGUUUUUGUUCAUUAGUUCUUGGAAACUAAUAGCCUGGAUUUUCAUUUUUCUCAUGACCUGGACCUCUGUAUUAAAAGUUGACAAAUUGUGAACGGGUGAGUGUUAAAUGUGCUCUAGGCUGACUGGUCACUUUUUUCCACUUAAAAGAGGUUUUUCUGAAAGUUUUUGUGCUUUAGUCUGCAUAAUGCUUAGCCAAGUAUUUGGCUUGGUAUCCAGGAUUUGCUGUGAAAGCAGGGUUCAGUAUCUACCCAAGUCCUGCAGGACUCAAUUUUGCUGGUUCCAGAGUGCUCCAAGCUGAUGUUAAUUACUGCGCGCAGACCAAGCUCUCUGUAGCAACCAACUGCUCCUUUGUGGACAUGCAGGUGCUAUGCCAAAUGAUAAAUUUGGCUCAAGAGCUGGGCGGAUGCGUGCUCUAGAGCUACUGAGACAUCUUUGCAGUGAAAAGGUUUUUCUUCAGAGCAGAAGUAAACAGCUGCUGGGUUGUUAGAGAACUGGAAAGCUGGCAGAUGGCAAAGAAGUGAAGCCGUUGAACUAUCUGAGGAGUUUAACAGUUGCUGGAUAAUCCUUUAAAAUAUGCCUACUGGUAAGCCAGAACCAGGUUCAGCCAGGAAGUUCUGAAAUUGCUGAUCACUUUCAUACAGAAAAUACUUCUGUCGAAGUUACAGCUGCUGUUUGUCCUGAAAGCACUCAACCUGCUCAGAAUCAUCUCUGUGCUCUGAAAGCAAUCGCUAGGGUUGCUGAAUAGUUUGCCUCGCUCAAGUAGAUAGCUCAAGAAGUCUACAAGUUUGACACAUCAUGGAAGGAUCUCCUUCUCAAUGGAAUUUUUUUUAUUUGAGUUGGAAAAAGCUUGUUAUUCUUUGCUGAUGAUGGUUUUCUGUUUUGUUUUGGUUUUUUUUUUCUUUUAAUGAGGACAAAUAUUUUAAGUAUAGUGUAAUAAUAAGGUAUAAUAAUAGCAAGGCUUGAGUCAUCUUCCCCUCUUCCAUGAGCAAUGUGGUGUUUUCUUGUGUGUGGUG
This is an RNA transcript of Egretta garzetta (little egret), 2815 nucleotides long. It is a transcript of the gene named angel homolog 2, with no coding region annotated. Lineage: Eukaryota; Metazoa; Chordata; Aves; Pelecaniformes; Ardeidae. The record is from RefSeq and is a predicted model, not a curated record. The transcript has 10 exons.